Molecule: long non-coding RNA, 6129 nt
Filed under: Daucus carota (carrot)
Lineage: Eukaryota; Viridiplantae; Streptophyta; Magnoliopsida; Apiales; Apiaceae
Description: long non-coding RNA (DCAR_LNC003411)
Source: RNAcentral
AGCCUGUUUGGGUUUACUUAGAGCAAGUCUUGUUAGGAUUUGUGGCCCCAAAACCUUCCCUCUCAAUCUUAUUGAGGUAAAAGGUCUUGUUUGGUCCCUCUUUGUAAGUGUGUCCUGCUAAGUUCAUGGCUGUGUUGUAUAUAUUUUCGUAUGUAUGUGUUUUAAAUUUAUGUGGUAUGAAUGUUUAUGAUGCAAAUUCUGUGAUCAUGUCAACAGGGUGCUAUUAACUGUCCGUAUUACAUGAAGACCGGUGCGUGCAAGUAUGGUGUUGCAUGCAAAUUUGACCACCCACCUGCUGGUGAGGUCAUGUCUACCAAAUCUGAAGGGACAUCGGCUGUCUGAGUGCAAGAUGGAGAAACUUUUAACUUCAUGGCAGCGUAGCCGAUUGUUGCAGUUAGUUAAUAGGACUCCUGGUUUUUUUAAAGCGGAGCUCUCCUUCAGCAUAUAUUUGAUACUGGGUCGACAUCUGUGUUAAAGAUAUUUAUCCUGUAUAGCUGGUGCAAUUGCCCAGCUUAUUGUUUCUUCUGUAUGUUAUGUCAAGACUGUUUCUAGUAUUUUAUUUCAAUACUGAUUAUAUCGGGGUGUUGAUUCUUCAAGCUAUUCUUGAAUUUCUUUUUUGCAUCAAAAUGUGUAACUUAAGAUUUAGGAUAAAUUGCAGUCAAAUUGGAUUAUCUUCACAGAUCUUGUUUUUCGCAAGUCGAACGUUUAGUUAAUAUGAAUGUAUUAUUGGUUGUAAACGGUCAGAUAUUUGUGAAUAUAAGUGAUCUGGAUAUGGUAAAUUGGCUGCUAUUUAUUUAUGAUUUAACAACCCAAGAAAAUAUGAUAUAAUAAUUAUCAAAAUGCUAUUGAAAAAUAUUUAUAAAAAAUAUAACAAUAAUUUUCUUUCAUGUAGUGAUAAGAAGCGAGUGAAGGAAAACAAAACUCUGAGAGAGAGAGAGCGCGCGAGAGAGAUGCAAGCACAGUGUAUCUCGACAAAAGUGUCUGUUAUAGUAACCCCUCGCCACCGCAACCGUCGUCAACUAUGCCUCAUCUUCUCCCCGCCGCCUCCUUACAGUCUCACAGUGUCGCCGGAAAACAAUCUUCUCCGUCGCCGGAAAAAUUCGACAGUCACUCAUGUUUCCUCCUCGUCAGCAUCUGAGAAGCCUAACCAGGUUUCGUGAAGCUUGAAAUUAUUGUACAAGUUUGUUAUUGAAUGUGCUUGAUGGAUUAUAAACUCACUCUAUGUAUAUGUGUGUAUCUAGAGUGAUGAACAAAGAAAAGGCUCGGAUCUUCAAACACUUGCCAGGAGGUUCUGGAAAGUAGCAGCUCCGUAUUGGUAUUCGGAUGAUGACAAGAAGCAAGCUCGAUUACAGCUUGCUGCUGUCUUCGCCUUAACUUUUGCUACUACUGGAAUCAGCGUUGGAUUCAAUUUCCUCGGUCGUGAUUUCUACAAUGCCCUUUCCAGUAAGAUAGCUAAUCGUAGUUUGUUGUAAUCUGAAUUAACCACAUACCGAAUAUUUCUUUCAUUUUAGCUUAUAUGUAGUGACCUAAGUUGUUGUUCUCGUUUCUUGCUGACAUAUUGUUGACUGUUAUUAUUAAUGCAAGAUAAGGACCAAGAACAAUUCACCAAGCAAUUGCUUUACUACCUUGCCAGUUUUGCUGGAGGAAUUCCGGUGAGCACAUUGCUCCAUUCUCCUCUCUUAGGUAUUGCUCACUUAGUCUUUUAUGCAUUUUUUACUAGGAAAUACCAAAACUUCAAUGGUAAACAUGUCAUGGAACAAUUUAGGAAGCUCGUGCUGACACUUACUAUUCCCUCCACUUCCAAAUUUCUAGAUAAAAACUUGUUCUAAAUUUAUUCCUAAUUAGAAUUAAGUUCUAUUAUAUAUAAUAACAUCAAUAUCUUGUACCUUUUUCCUAAUGGACAUACAAUUGUUGUAAUUUUCUUGGCACUAAAGCAAGUCAUUACUUCUUUCCAUAUUUCUUGUACUUAGUCGUGGAUUCUUAGUAAAGUAUAUAUCGUUUCUAAAGACUUCAUUCAAUCUCCGGUUCUUAAGUAUGGCGAGUAGUACAAUGAUAGCUCUUUAUGGUUGGUGAUAGCAGGAUUUUUUUUCACAUAUACAACCGUUAAAAUAUAGUUAGAAGAAUUAAUUUAUCUACCAAUCGGGACUAAUGUAAUGCCUUAGCAUCCACUCUUAAAUGAGAGCAAAAUAUACACUGUUUCAUACAAUUAGAAUUCACGAGUGUAACCAAAAUGCUUAAUACCUUAACUACUUGAUAAUAUCUUAAUUACUUGAUUUAGAAUCUGAAUUUUAAUGAAAGUAGGAGUCUAGGAUUGCAUGUAUGGUGUAACUUCGAAUUUUAUUUAGUAAGUUCCAAAUAAUAUACUUACUUUGGAUUGAAGUAACAAUAUGCUUUUUUGGUAUAUGGAUCACUGAACAUGUAAUGUGUUUAUAGCAUUACCACUAUCAGUAUUCUAAUACUUUGAUGACAUGUAUUAAGUAAAAUCACCGAGGUUACGUAAUACUUUCAUAAUUUUUGUUAAGGAAUGAGGAAAGGAAGAUAAUUUAAUAUUUUGAAUAUUUGUGGUUAAAAUUUUAUAUGAGUUGGGAUUUUUAUUAAGCGAUUCAGUGCUUGACUUGAUACGUGGUCGUCUUUGAUUUGACUCGUUAAAAUUAUUUAACGAGGAUCAAUUUAUUGCUCAAGGCUUAUUAUAUGUCUGAUAAUAUAUUAUGAUCUUUCUACCUAAAAGUUUUAAAUGUAACAAUUACUUAACAUGAUAUUAGAGUUCGGUUGAGAGAGCGGUGUCGGAUGCGAGUCCUCUUGCCCCUAUAUGUUUAAUUUUUUAUUUGUUUGUCUAGUCUGGUUUGAUGUAUAUUUGUUUAAUCUUAUAGAGAAGUGUUGAAUAAUUUGUGAUCCUGGCAAGACCUUCCUCUAAUAAUUUUAGGUUUUAGAUGAGUUGGUUACUUCAAAUUAUAUAUAUACCAUAUAUAUACUCCCUCCGUCUCAGCAGGUUGUUUACUUUCACUUUUUGCACGCAUUUUGAGGCUCUUAUAAAGUAUAGUUCCAAUUUUUUUUUUUCUUUUUUGAAUAAAAGUUUAAAUGUCAAACUUUUAUUCAGGGAAAAAAGAUUUUAAAAAAAUAUUUAGAACUAUACUUUAUAGGAGCCUCAAAAUACUUUAUAGGAGCCUCAAAAUACGUGUUAAAAAACCCUGUUGGGACAGGAGUAAUGGUUAUAAGCCUCACAUAUAAAGCAUGUAGAUAUAUAUAUUCGGGUCUGUCUUAUUUUACAUCUCCCAAGACUUUUUGAACUUAAUUUAAGGUGCAUAAAAAAGAUAAUUCUAAUUAUUAUUUUUUGAAUUUUUUUAAUGAGUAAAAGUUAUUAGUUCUACUUUUAUUCAGAAAAAAAAAUUUAGAAAAUAAUAAACAUAAGUACUUUUUAUACUCUAAGUUAGUAAUGUCUUUGACUUAUUAUUUUUAAUUAUAACAAUAUAUACAAUAAAUAUGUUAAAGUUUAUAAUAAUAUGUAUGAAAUAAAAAAAAUAAUCAGUGACAAAUCCGAUAUCGUCGAUCAUGGUAAAACCUUGAGGAAAAAAAAUGGAGUUGGGAUGUUGAAACGAUGGUAACUUAUAGUGCAAAGGAAAAGCGGUGAAGGAAAAAAGGACUAGAUAAAGACGAAGUUAGGUAUUUAUGUUCAAAACUGUAUUUUGUGAUUCAUAAUUCUUCUAAAAUCUGGAGGGUUAAUUUUUUUUUUAAAAGUGUGGUUGAGGAUAUGUUGCUCAAUUUUCAACAGUAGUUCGUUCGUCAUUGGGCCUGAGCAAGCAUGAGCAUAUAUAUGUAUCUAUUAUAUAAUGGUUUGGGUCAAUUUUAAGGUUAUUUCGAGAUGGCUCAGAAAUGACCCAAUUUUUUCAAGGUAGUUUAAGGCUCUGUCUAUGAUUGCUAUUCACAACUGUAAUGCUUUUAGGAAAAAUUGCAAUAAAAAAAGUGUUUUUGCUGGAAUCAAGUAACUGUUUGGUAAUAUUUUUGAUGUUUACGUUAAUUUAGGUAUGAUAUUUUUGGUGAGUUUUGGUUGAGAUUCGUCACAAAUGUUAAAAAGCAGCUUUUUUCAAAAACAUUUGUGGAGCUGCUUUGCUGCAAUUCAGAAAAGCGAGCUUAACUGAAAUGUUGUUGCUGUCAGCAACAGCAACCAAACAGGGCCUAAGUCAGUCCAAAAUUGACAAAAAAAUCCCGACCUUAUUCGUAUAGUUCGGGUUGUGUUGCGUCGGAUUUUUCCACCUUAGUAUGCAUGCAUCGAACCUUAAUGAACAGCUCGAAGCAAAGUUGAGUUUGGAAAGUUAGCAUUGAACCAAAAAUGAUCAACCCAACUCAGUUCAGCCCGACUUGGUUACAACCAUAGCCAUGGUAGCUAGAAAGCAGGGGUGUGGCACUCACGUGGUGCAUUGCGCACCCGGUGCGGCGGUGCGCGGCAGCAUAUGCACGGAGUGCGCCACCUGGCGUGUCGCCGUAAUUCUUUAACGGGAUUCGUGAGGGUGCGGAAUAGGGGGUGAGGGAGGGGCACUUUUGGUAAUGUUUUUGGUCUCUGUCACCACCAUCGGCCAGCUUUCUUCUUCUGCCAUCUCCAUUCUUUCUUUGCAGAUCGUAAUUUAUGUUGUGCUAGAUACAUAGCCAUUUAUUUGAAUAUCCAUGAGUAUAUGUAUGUUUAUGUUUGUGUGUUCAAAAGUUAUGUACGUGUAUAUGUGAAUGUGAAUUAUUGAUUCUUGACUUUGUAUCUUAGUGUUUGGGAAGAAGCAAAAGUUAAUGCUGUACAUGUAGAAUGGGAGUAGUCAAUCACAUAGACAACACGCAUUCCUAGUUAGAAUAUUAUUAUUAUAAACUUAAUGGUUGUCUCGAAAAGAAUAAACAACUAAUAAAUAGACAUAAGGUAAAUAGGUGAUAUCUUUUACAAUAAUGUUACCCGAACAACUAGAUUUGAGAAUUUAAAUAAUAUAUUUUAAAAAAAAAAUACAGUAUUUUAAAUGAAUUUUUUAUUAAUUAAAAAAAUAUUAAAUAAUAUAUAUAUAGAGGGUUACUCCAGUGAGAACUUCUUAAAAUGAGAAUCGUGAGAAUUUCCUUAAUUUAUCAUAUUUUGACUAAUCUAAACAUCAAACUAGUGGGUUACCCAAUAUAAAAAAAGUAUAUUAAACUAGUCUCUCCCUAGCUAGUCAAAAAAAAAAAAUUUAAAAAAAAUUCAAAAAAAAAAGUCCACUGCCACGUCAUCAGUGUUUUUUUUUAAAAAUUAUUAUUAUUAUUUUUUUUCGGCUAGCUAGGUGGAGACCUUAAUGAUAUACAUUUUUUGUGAAGGUGCCCCUAGCGGGGCCCUUCAAAUGAAUGAGAUUUUGAUAAAUUAAAAAAGUUUUCACGGUUCUCAUUUUAAGAAAGUUAUCAUUUGAGCAAGUCCCUACUUAUAUAUGUGUGUCAUGUAUAUAUAUUAUUUGGAUUUUUUUUCGGGUGCUAAGUUCAUGGCUGUGUUGUAUAUAUUUUCGUAUGUAUGUGUUUUAAAUUUAUGUGGUAUGAAUGUUUAUGAUGCAAAUUCUGUGAUCAUGUCAACAGGGUGCUAUUAACUGUCCGUAUUACAUGAAGACCGGUGCGUGCAAGUAUGGUGUUGCAUGCAAAUUUGACCACCCACCUGCUGGUGAGGUCAUGUCUACCAAAUCUGAAGGGACAUCGGCUGUCUGAGUGCAAGAUGGAGAAACUUUUAACUUCAUGGCAGCGUAGCCGAUUGUUGCAGUUAGUUAAUAGGACUCCUGGUUUUUUUAAAGCGGAGCUCUCCUUCAGCAUAUAUUUGAUACUGGGUCGACAUCUGUGUUAAAGAUAUUUAUCCUGUAUAGCUGGUGCAAUUGCCCAGCUUAUUGUUUCUUCUGUAUGUUAUGUCAAGACUGUUUCUAGUAUUUUAUUUCAAUACUGAUUAUAUCGGGGUGUUGAUUCUUCAAGCUAUUCUUGAAUUUCUUUUUUGCAUCAAAAUGUGUAACUUAAGAUUUAGGAUAAAUUGCAGUCAAAUUGGAUUAUCUUCACAGAUCUUGUUUUUCGCAAGUCGAACGUUUAGUUAAUAUGAAUGUAUUAUUGGUUGUAAACGGUCAGAUAUUUGUGAAUAUAAGUGAUCUGGAUAUGGUAAAU